GGUCAGUGAUGUGAUGGCAUGUAUUAGCUGAAUGCAAAGUUGAUGUGAGUUUUAAAAUUACACUGAGACCUU
RNAcentral lists this small nucleolar RNA (72 nucleotides) under Sciurus vulgaris (Eurasian red squirrel). RNAcentral's name for it is "Small nucleolar RNA SNORD45 (ENSSVLG00005020629.1)". It matches the Rfam family "Small nucleolar RNA SNORD45". From Rfam's summary of the family: U45 belongs to the C/D class of snoRNA which contain the C (UGAUGA) and D (CUGA) box motifs. Most of the members of the box C/D family function in directing site-specific 2'-O-methylation of substrate RNAs. The record is from Rfam by way of RNAcentral. Lineage: Eukaryota; Metazoa; Chordata; Mammalia; Rodentia; Sciuridae.